AGAAUGAACGCUGGCGGCGUGCCUAACACAUGCAAGUCGUGCGCGAAAGGGACUUCGGUCCCCGGUAGAGCGGCGAACGGGUGAGUAACACGUGGGUAACCUGUCUGAGAGUGGGGGAUAACCUGGGGAAACUCGGGCUAAUACCGCAUACGUCCACCGGGCUUCGGCUCGGUGAGGAAAGGUGGCCUCUGCUUGCAAGCCACCACUCACAGAGGGGCCCGCGUCUGAUUAGCUAGUUGGCGGGGUAACGCCCACCAAGGCGACGAUCAGUA
This 272-nucleotide ribosomal RNA is filed under the name uncultured soil bacterium. Its description in RNAcentral is "partial 16S ribosomal RNA". It matches the Rfam family "Bacterial small subunit ribosomal RNA", at positions 26 to 285 of the family's 1533-position model. The record is from RNAcentral.